Molecule: unclassified non-coding RNA, 418 nt
Filed under: Hevea brasiliensis (rubber tree)
Lineage: Eukaryota; Viridiplantae; Streptophyta; Magnoliopsida; Malpighiales; Euphorbiaceae
Source: RNAcentral
CUUCUUUCUAAGCUGCCUGGCUUUCUCUUCUGUGAAGCAACCCAGAGCGAAUCUGGUUCUUCGCCGAUCCAGUUCCGAAUCGAACUUCGACUUAGCGGAUUGCCCAUCGGAUCCAUCAAUGUCGGAAGGGCCGGUGCUGGAGAUGGAGUUAACGUAGUCGGGAUCGGAGGACCAGCCGAAGAGCGGGGCCCACCAGGUGGAAGAAGCAGUCCUGCGAUUCUGGUCUGGUUUUCUAGCGGAUCCGGGCGAGGCCCGGAUUUGAGCGGUCAGGGAGCAGUUGAGCGUGAUAGCAGAGGCCAUGGACGUAGAGAGAGAAGGAUCAGAAAAUUGGAAGUGUUCAGUGGGAGAAAAUGUAACCAAGAGGCUACGAACACAGGAGAUGGUUGCGUACCAUGGUUUGGAUAAAAGCUAGGCGAAG